AAUAGAUACCCCGGUAGUCCACGCCGUAAACGACGUCGACUUGGAGGUUGUUCCCUUGAGGAGUGGCUUCCGGAGCUAACGCGUUAAGUCGACCGCCUGGGGAGUACGGCCGCGAGGUUAAAACUCAAAUGAAUUGACGGGGGGCCCGCACAAGCGGUGGAGCAUGUGGUUUAAUUCGAUGCAACGCGAAGAACCUUACCUACUCUUGACAUCCAGAGAACUUAGCAGAGAUGCUUUGGUGCCUUCGGGAACUCUGAGACAGGUGCUGCAUGGCUGUCGUCAGCUCGUGUUGUGAAAUGUUGGGUUAAGUCCCGCAACGAGCGCAACCCUUAUCCUUUGUUGCCAGCGGUUCGGCCGGGAACUCAAAGGAGACUGCCAGUGAUAAACUGGAGGAAGUGGGGAUGACGUCAAGUCAUCAUGGCCCUUACGAGUAGGGCUACACACGUGCUACAAUGGCGUAUACAAAGAGAAGCGACCUCGCGAGAGCAAGCGGACCUCAUAAAGUACGUCGUAGUCCGGAUUGGAGUCUGCAACUCGACU
RNAcentral lists this ribosomal RNA (540 nucleotides) under uncultured bacterium. Its description in RNAcentral is "bacterial SSU rRNA". It matches the Rfam family "Bacterial small subunit ribosomal RNA", at positions 777 to 1317 of the family's 1533-position model. The record is from RNAcentral.